Molecule: ribosomal RNA, 449 nt
Filed under: uncultured bacterium
Lineage: Bacteria
Description: partial 16S ribosomal RNA
Rfam family: Bacterial small subunit ribosomal RNA
Source: RNAcentral
AGCGAACGCUGGCGGCAGGCUUAACACAUGCAAGUCGAACGGGCACUUCGGUGCUAGUGGCAGACGGGUGAGUAACGCGUGGGAACGUGCCUUUCGGUUCGGAAUAAUCCAGGGAAACUUGGACUAAUACCGGAUACGCCCCUCGGGGGAAAGAUUUAUCGCCGAAAGAUCGGCCCGCGUCUGAUUAGCUAGUUGGUGAGGUAAAGGCUCACCAAGGCGACGAUCAGUAGCUGGUCUGAGAGGAUGAUCAGCCACAUUGGGACUGAGACACGGCCCAGACUCCUACGGGAGGCAGCAGUGGGGAAUAUUGGACAAUGGGCGCAAGCCUGAUCCAGCCAUGCCGCGUGAGUGAUGAAGGCCUUAGGGUUGUAAAGCUCUUUCACCGGAGAAGAUAAUGACGGUAUCCGGAGAAGAAGCCCCGGCUAACUUCGUGCCAGCAGCCGCCGCGG